This 601-nucleotide ribosomal RNA is filed under the name uncultured bacterium. RNAcentral describes it as "bacterial SSU rRNA". It matches the Rfam family "Bacterial small subunit ribosomal RNA", at positions 821 to 1422 of the family's 1533-position model. The record is from RNAcentral.
AGGUUGUGCCCUUGAGGCGUGGCUUCCGGAGCUAACGCGUUAAGUCGACCGCCUGGGGAGUACGGCCGCAAGGUUAAAACUCAAAUGAAUUGACGGGGGCCCGCACGAGCGGUGGAGCAUGUGGUUUAAUUCGAUGCAACGCGAAGAACCUUACCUGGUCUUGACAUCCACAGAACUUUCCAGAGAUGGAUUGGUGCCUUCGGGAACUGUGAGACAGGUGCUGCAUGGCUGUCGUCAGCUCGUGUUGUGAAAUGUUGGGUUAAGUCCCGCAACGAGCGCAACCCUUAUCCUUUGUUGCCAGCGGUCCGGCCGGGAACUCAAAGGAGACUGCCAGUGAUAAACUGGAGGAAGGUGGGGAUGACGUCAAGUCAUCAUGGCCCUUACGACCAGGGCUACACACGUGCUACAAUGGCGCAUACAAAGAGAAGCGAACUCGCGAGAGCAAGCGGACCUCAUAAAGUGCGUCGUAGUCCGGAUUGGAGUCUGCAACUCGACUCCAUGAAGUCGGAAUCGCUAGUAAUCGUGGAUCAGAAUGCCACGGUGAAUACGUUCCCGGGCCUUGUACACACCGCCCGUCACACCAUGGGAGUGGGUUGCAAAA